This 433-nucleotide ribosomal RNA is filed under the name uncultured bacterium. RNAcentral's name for it is "partial 16S ribosomal RNA". It matches the Rfam family "Bacterial small subunit ribosomal RNA", at positions 29 to 507 of the family's 1533-position model. The record is from RNAcentral.
AACGAACGCUGGCGGCAUGCCUAACACAUGCAAGUCGAACGAGACCUUCGGGUCUAGUGGCGCACGGGUGCGUAACACGUGGGAAUCUGCCCUUUGCUUCGGAAUAACAGUUAGAAAUGACUGCUAAUACCGGAUGAUGUCGAAAGACCAAAGAUUUAUCGGCAAAGGAUGAGCCCGCGUAGGAUUAGGUAGUUGGUGGGGUAAAGGCCUACCAAGCCGACGAUCCUUAGCUGGUCUGAGAGGAUGAUCAGCCACACUGGGACUGAGACACGGCCCAGACUCCUACGGGAGGCAGCAGUGGGGAAUAUUGGACAAUGGGCGAAAGCCUGACCCAGCAAUGCCGCGUGAGUGAUGAAGGCCUUAGGGUUGUAAAGCUCUUUUACCAGGGAUGAUAAUGACAGUACCUGGAGAAUAAGCUCCGGCUAACUCCGUG